CAGCACCUCAAGUGGUCAGGAUGAUUAUUGGGCCUAAAGCAUCCGUAGCCGGCUCUGUAAGUUUUCGGUUAAAUCUGUACGCUUAACGUACAGGCUGCCGGGAAUACUGCAGAGCUAGGGAGUGGGAGAGGUAGACGGUACUCGGUAGGAAGGGGUAAAAUCCUUUGAUCUAUUGAUGACCACCUGUGGCGAAGGCGGUCUACCAGAACACGUCCGACGGUGAGGGAUGAAAGCUGGGGGAGCGAACCGGAUUAGAUACCCGAGUAGUCC
This 270-nucleotide ribosomal RNA is filed under the name uncultured archaeon. RNAcentral's name for it is "partial 16S ribosomal RNA". It matches the Rfam family "Archaeal small subunit ribosomal RNA", at positions 477 to 747 of the family's 1478-position model. The record is from RNAcentral.